UCUGUACUCCCUCCGUUCCAAAAUACUUGACUUCCAUUUGUCCAAAAAUGGAUGUACCUAUAUACUAAGACAUGUCUAGAUACAUAUAUAUUUUGACAAAUAGAAGGCAUGUAUUGUGCAACGGAGGGAAUAGAAU
This is a non-coding RNA of Triticum aestivum (bread wheat), 136 nucleotides long. The record is from Rfam. Lineage: Eukaryota; Viridiplantae; Streptophyta; Magnoliopsida; Poales; Poaceae.